Molecule: ribosomal RNA, 492 nt
Filed under: uncultured bacterium
Lineage: Bacteria
Description: partial 16S ribosomal RNA
Rfam family: Bacterial small subunit ribosomal RNA
Source: RNAcentral
AGUGAACGCUGGCGGUAGGCCUAACACAUGCAAGUCGAACGGCAGCACAGUAAGAGCUUGCUCUUACGGGUGGCGAGUGGCGGACGGGUGGGGAAUACAUCGGAAUCUACUUUUUCGUGGGGGAUAACGUAGGGAAACUUACGCUAAUACCGCAUACGACCUACGGGUGAAAGCAGGGGAUCUUCGGACCUUGCGCGAUUGAAUGAGCCGAUGUCGGAUUAGCUAGUUGGCGGGGUAAAGGCCCACCAAGGCGACGAUCCGUAGCUGUUCUGAGAGGAUGAUCAGCCACACUGGAACUGAGACACGGUCCAGACUCCUACGGGAGGCAGCAGUGGGGAAUAUUGGACAAUGGGCGCAAGCCUGAUCCAGCCAUACCGCGUGGGUGAAGAAGGCCUUCGGGUUGUAAAGCCCUUUUGUUGGGAAAGAAAAGCAGCAGGUUAAUACCCCGCUGUUCUGACGGUACCCAAAGAAUAAGCACCGGCUAACUUCGUG